RNAcentral lists this transfer RNA (92 nucleotides) under Arenivirga flava. RNAcentral's name for it is "tRNA-Leu". The record is from RNAcentral. Lineage: Bacteria; Bacillati; Actinomycetota; Actinomycetes; Micrococcales; Microbacteriaceae.
CCGGCAUGGGCAACGGUGGCGGUGGCGGCUCGCAGCCGGCCGGUGGUGGUGCUCCGCCCAUCGACAACUCGGCUCCGCAGCCGGGUGCCGGU